Molecule: non-coding RNA, 686 nt
Organism: Phascolarctos cinereus (koala)
Lineage: Eukaryota; Metazoa; Chordata; Mammalia; Diprotodontia; Phascolarctidae
Source: RefSeq, a predicted model, not a curated record
CUUUGACAGCUGUUUAACCAGCCAGCACAGUUUUCAUCAAGUGCUCUUUGUCUGAAGAAGCCCACCGAGUUGACUGUCAAAGCCUGGAGAUGGAGAGGAAGAGGACUCAAUGUCCCAUUAGUACCGGGAGAGGAGACCCCGGGAGCUGACCUGCCUUGGUCAGGAGACAAGUCGGACUUCCAGAGCAGCACCAGGGAUGGGACCUGAAGAGACGUGAAAACCCUCCCUUCCACCCAUCGUCUGACCUGCUCCCCAGGACAGAAAAGGUGGGAGGCGACACCAGAUGGUUCCUGGGUUACUUUAUUUUGACAACGGCCACACAAACACAUUGGGGGAUGGGAAGAACAGUCAAGGCUUCUAGGCUCCGGGCAUCUCCCCCAAGCUCCCCUGCCUCCUCCACAGUCCAAGCAGUACCCAUUCCCCGCACCCCCCCAAUUCAGCUCCUCCUUUUUUGCCACAAGUCACAAGAGGCAGUGGAGUGCCCAGACUGUUCUUGUGGCUGCCAUGGCUUCACUCUUGACAUGCAAACUUCCUGCCCCAGAUCUGGACUCCACCUAGAGUCACAGGAGGCAACUUCCCCAAACAUGGAUGGCUCAUGGUGGACUGAAUAUGCUGCAGUGUGUUUUCUUCCCGGAUAACGUAUCACAGAAUAGAAUGUGUCACUGUUGAAAGGAAGCUUAGAAACA